Molecule: non-coding RNA, 1511 nt
Organism: Ciona intestinalis (vase tunicate)
Lineage: Eukaryota; Metazoa; Chordata; Ascidiacea; Phlebobranchia; Cionidae
Source: RefSeq, a predicted model, not a curated record
UGCUUAUAACUGCCACUGCUAUGAGAAUAUUUUAUUGAACAAUUAUAACAAUUACUUCGACUAACUCACAAGCUAUCUAUUAAAAAUAAGCCUUCUGGAAUAGUUAAGUCACAAAUAUUUAGCUAUGGACAGAAGAAUCAUCUUUCUGCUUGGUUUAUUGUUUCUGAUUCAAACUACUUGGGCAACCAUCAACAAAAAAUUUCGCUGGCACGGAAAGAGGAAGUGGUGGUUAAGGUUUGUAAAGCAAUACAGCGGAAAUGAAAAUAUACAAGAGAAUGAUCCAAACAUGGACAUUGGACCUAUGGAUUUCAGAUAAAAACCAAUAUAGUUAUGUUAUAAAGAAACAGAUGAUCUAAAUGUACUGACAUAUCUUACAAAAUAAUUGGUUCAUCCUGUCAACAAACAGCACAGAUAAAAUUCUGGAUAAAAUGCCUUUGCUUUUAUUUGUAUCAAUAAUAAGACCAGCUCAGCUUUUGGAAGAAGUUAUUUAUUAUUAACCAAGCAGUUAGCUGUUAUAGUAUACAUUAUACUGUACAGUAUUUUAAAAAACAAAAUACAUAAUGGUUUUAGGGUAAUUUGAGUUUCCAUUUAAAAGUCUAGUUAAAACGUUCUGUUUUUCCAACUUCUAUAGUUAAACAUGUUUUCUACAAUAUGUUACUGUAUGUUUCGUCAAGCGUUUGAAAUAUGCACAUUUAACUACAAUUUUCAAUACUUAACAUUGGCGCAUUUUUGCAACAUUACAUGUAUCUGUUGCUGAUUGGGUAUUAGGGCAACGUGUCACUUAUGAUGGCUGAGCUGUCUAAAUACCAAAGAAGGUUGGUAGGACUGCUCUCAAUUCAGUAUAUACAAUAAAAGCUUCAAAUUAAUUCUACCUAUACAUUACCAUACAUGAGUAUAUCAUCAUGCAUAGAUAUAUGAUGUUCAAAGAAUUAUACUAUGUAAGUCGGCAACAGGAGUUCGGCAGUUUUGCUCUAAUUUAAAUAUUACUAGUGAGUGCCUGAAAGAGUUAAAAGUAUUAGAUUACCAUGGAAUUUACUGAAGAUUUAUUUAAAUAUAAAUAUUAAAUGACUGCUCUCGCUUUAAAUGUUUUAAAAUGAUUCAUGGAAAAUGAAUUCAAAAGCUGACACAGUGUUCGGCUAAUCACAACAAAGUUCUGCAUAAAAGCCACGCAUUUGCAACGUUGCACACACAGUUUCUAGCAAAUGCCAAGAGAUGGAUCGAAGAAUUGUUUUUCUACUCGCAAUGCUGUUGCUUCUUGAGUGCAGUUUGGCGGUAACAGUAACAGUAAACAAGCCGCGUACAAGAAGAUGGUGGCAUCGAGGAAUUUGGAGACGAAGUUGGUGGUCGAGAAGAAGACUAAUAAGAGGAGACGUAAUUCCCCAAGAUAUGGACAUUCCAGACUUUGAAAUGGAUGAUGAGCAGAUAGACUUUGAAUAAACUUUGAUCAACAUGCAAAAUUUGCUUGUGUCAAAGAAAAGUUACAUUCUAUUUAAAAAUAAAAACUAAAAUAU